This 253-nucleotide ribosomal RNA is filed under the name uncultured bacterium. Its description in RNAcentral is "partial 16S ribosomal RNA". It matches the Rfam family "Bacterial small subunit ribosomal RNA", at positions 524 to 776 of the family's 1533-position model. The record is from RNAcentral.
UACGUAGGGACCAAGCGUUGUUCGGAUUUACUGGGCGUAAAGGGCGCGUAGGCGGCAAUUCAAGUCAGCUGUGAAAUCUCCGAGCUUAACUCGGAACGGUCAGCUGAUACUGCUUUGCUAGAGUGCGGAAGGGGCAAUCGGAAUUCUCGGUGUAGCGGUGAAAUGCGUAGAUAUCGAGAGGAACACCUGAGGUGAAGACGGGUUGCUGGGCCGACACUGACGCUGAGGCGCGAAAGCCAGGGUAGCAAACGGG